RNAcentral lists this ribosomal RNA (404 nucleotides) under Fusobacteriota bacterium. RNAcentral describes it as "Fusobacteria bacterium partial 16S ribosomal RNA". It matches the Rfam family "Bacterial small subunit ribosomal RNA", at positions 355 to 776 of the family's 1533-position model. Lineage: Bacteria; Fusobacteriati; Fusobacteriota. The record is from RNAcentral.
UGGGGAAUAUUGCACAAUGGAGGGAACUCUGAUGCAGCGACGCCGCGUGAACGAAGAAGGCUUUCGAGUCGUAAAGUUCUUUUAUAUGGGAAGAUAAUGACGGUACCAUAAGAAAAAGCCCCGGCUAACUACGUGCCAGCAGCCGCGGUAAUACGUAGGGGGCUAGCGUUGUCCGGAAUUAUUGGGCGUAAAGGGUGCGCAGGCGGCUUUACAAGUUGGAUGUGAAAUAUUGUGGCUCAACCACAAACGUGCAUCCAAAACUGCAAAGCUUGAGUUAAGGAGAGGUAAGUGGAAUUCCUGGUGUAGCGGUGGAAUGCGUAGAUAUCAGGAGGAAUACCGGUGGCGAAGGCGACUUACUGGACUAAAACUGACGCUCAGGCACGAAAGCGUGGGGAGCAAACAGG